GAUCAUGGCUCAGGAUGAACGCUGGCGGCGUGCUUAACACAUGCAAGUCGAACGAAGCGCUUUUACAGAUUUCUUCGGAAUGAAGUUUUAGUGACUGAGUGGCGGACGGGUGAGUAACGCGUGGGUAACCUGCCUCACACAGGGGGAUAACAGUUGGAAACGGCUGCUAAUACCGCAUAAGCGCACAGUACCGCAUGGUACGGUGUGAAAAACUCCGGUGGUAUGAGAUGGACCCGCGU
Molecule: ribosomal RNA, 239 nt
Filed under: uncultured bacterium
Lineage: Bacteria
Description: partial 16S ribosomal RNA
Rfam family: Bacterial small subunit ribosomal RNA
Source: RNAcentral